Molecule: long non-coding RNA, 3624 nt
Filed under: Ananas comosus (pineapple)
Lineage: Eukaryota; Viridiplantae; Streptophyta; Magnoliopsida; Poales; Bromeliaceae
Description: long non-coding RNA (ACOM_LNC005401)
Source: RNAcentral
UAAAUCCACAUCACUAUGCCACGAAACCAUUUGCCAAAUUGAAAGCCGCUUUUAGCCGAAACCAUUCAAAUACCAUAAGCAAUCAUCCAUCCACAUUGCUCUAGUCUAACUGAACUACCAAGGCAUCUAUCUAUAUAGCGAUAAAGAAAUAAGAUAGAGGAUAAGGGACUAUAGCAAAAGUAGCAAAGUAGUGAAUCACUAGUUCAAACUAGCUAAAUUGAGAUCUCAUGCAGCAUCCUGCUCAAUCUCCCCACCAGUACAACCUGUGAAAACCGUGGGGGUGAGAAACCAAUCUGAGGUUUCUCAGUGAAUACGAAAGAGCCACAAAGGCAAGUCACACUUAUCAAAAUCAAAAGAUAAGCCAGAUAUAUAGAGAUUUGCAUUUAGUUGAAAAAUAGAAACCUACAGUAGCAUGAUAUGAACAUAUAUAAAAGUAGAAUAUAAACCAGAAUGUUGUUAUUGUACUAGAAAUGCCAUCCAACCAACACGCCUCAAAGACAUCAAGUCUAAACCAAGAUCCAACCUAUAACCCGCCAUACAUGAUCGAAUAGAAAUAAUACCUACAGUAGCUAAAUAUGAAUCUGAAUAGAAUGGGUAACCAAAUACCACUACUGUAAAAGAGAAUCCAUCUAACCAAUAUAGCUCAAUGAUAAAAAUCCAAGCUAGAAGCAAUCCAAUGUAACGACCCGGUCUACCAGUAAUAACAACUUGUUAGGCCCAAACCAUCAGUAUUAGAGUCGGUUCACAAGCAGGAAGUGUGAGAUGAGUCUUGGCUGAGUCAGGGUCAGAAUGACAGACUAAGCCAAGGUCGAUGAAUGAUAGCUAAGUCAGGGUUAGAAUGACAAGGCUAGUGAGACAAGUCUCACAUCGCUUGGUGAUCUUGGGCUGUGUGUGUGUUUAGGGUUGACAAGAACAUUAAGGCCUAAACCGGGAGGGUAUGUAACACCCCAAUAAUCCCACAUUGUGUAGAUAUGACUAGAUGUGGGGUUAUAUCAGCUUGAUUAGCCUAGACAUUAUAACAGGGCUUAAGUAUUUUGGGCCGGUGGUUUGGGCCCAACGAGUUAUUAUUACUAGCGGCUCGGGUCGUUACAUUUGGUAUCAGAGCCGGUUCACUAGUCGGAAGUGUGAGAUGAGUCUUGGCUAAGCAAAGGUCGGAAUGACAAGGCUGGCAAGAUAAGUCUCACAUUGCCUGGUGAUUUUAGGCUGUGUGUGUGAUUAGACUGACGAAGAUGUUAGGGCCUUAACGAGGGGAGUCUGUCACACCUCAAUAAUCCCACAUUAGAUAGAAAUGGGAAUGUGAUUGGGUAUAUAAGUGACUUAGACACUAGUAAUAAUAACUGGCCUUAAGCAUGUUGGGCAUGUGGUUUGAGCCCAAUGAGUUAUUGUUGCUGGUGGGCUGGGUUAUUACAUCCAUAACCUGCCAUAUUGGUCCGUUGACCUUAAGCACUAGCCACCACCAUAAUGCACCGACCAGAUCCAUGCUUCACAAUGGACAACCUAUAUGGAUAAGUACACCGUUCAUUAAUGGCCGAAUCGAUUCGGUGUCCAUGAAUACCCCCAAGUGUAGUGGCAAAGUCCUGUGACACGAUCAAAUAACCUCUUGAGAGGAAGCCAACUGCUGUGGCAUAAAGCCAAAAUACUGUGGAGUGUAAACACCAGAAUUGGAGACCAAAAAGGUUGAACCGUACGAAUCCGUAUGACCCUGUCACCUAAACCAAAAGUCCCCUGAUGCUCAUAGAGCAUGAUAGUCUGCUCUACAUGCCAUGUACCAAACCACUAUUAUGCACGAUAGUAAUAAAUGCCAAAAGUAAAGUAUGGAAGAAGUGCCAAUAUGUUAGAGUAAUGAUAACUACAUAAGUGAGAGGAAUAGAAAUUAAGUAAAUAUAAUCUCACGAACUACUAGCUCAAAGCACGCACCUCACCGUAGCACUGAUCUGGGUUGUCAACCCCCUGCCGGUGCCUUAAGCUAUCACUCGAACCUAUAUAAAGUCUAAUAAUCUAUAUUUAGCUUGAAACUCACUAAAUAUAAGUACGGCGACUACAUCAUGAAUCCAAAAUAAAAAUAUGAUCAGAAUUAUGGAUCCCAAUUAUUGAUCACCAAAAACUCAUCUGAUCGUCAUGCUAAUUCGCUGGAACACCACCCCAGCCUACGGGGUGUCCCAAAACAAACCAAAUACCUAGCAAAUCUUAAUUGCUAUCCCAAAACAUCAAUUUUACACUAUUAUGAUAGCCGCAUGCAAAGUAGGCCAAAUCGGGGAAUCAGAACCCCGAAAAUCAUCGGUAUGACGUCGAAAAUGCCUAUUUCGGCUAUGGAACCAUAGGCAGCCCUCUUGCUAUGACCAGAGGUGUCAAAUCUCCCAUGUGACCAGCCUAUAAAGCGCAAUCAAUGCUGCAAAUAGCAGCAACCCACACAUCACAAAUUCAAGAUUGAUAUUGCACGAUUUUCAUGAUUUGGGGUCCGAUUCAACCCUGAAGUUAAAGAAAUAUUUUAUAUUCAUCCAACAAUCCUCAUUGUCCCAAGAAACUCAUUUUUGAGUGUCUAGACAACCACAUGCCAAGUGGUGCGAGACCGGUGCGAAAACUCCAAAAUAACUUGUGCAGGUUUUCUAGAAUUUACCGUUUAAGCUCUGAAAACCAUCUAUGUCGCUUGCUAGUCGAUGCUUCCACCAGCGAGUCUCCAACUAGCCAACAAGACACUGCAGCAAGCAACAGACCCCACUCUAUGAAAACAGAACCAAGAUCACCAACGCUAAUCACCUUUAUUACUGUUUUAUGUGCUGGUUGACAUGAAUUCCGAAUUGAGGGAUUUCUUGGCCCGAACAUCAUGUUUGAAUAUCCUACACCUGAACCAUACUAUCCGGGACGGGCAUGAUGCAAAAAAGUUUUCCUCGGCAUUUUGCCGAACACUUAGUGUGUAAUAAUUAAGUCGUUAAAGAAGUUAGGGUUCAUUAUUGUUGAUUGCACACUUUGGAAUCUCACCCAAGAUGUAUUCUGGAAGGUUUCGAUAUCCCAAACGCUAUGUUCACUGCCCGGAGUGCGACCGACAGCUAGGAAUCUUGUUAGAGCCAUCUUGUCCAUUAAGCCAAAAAGGUCCCCUGGGGCGACGUCGUUAAUACAACGAAGGGCCCCUGGCAGCAACAAGGGUGAGCACGACACUGUAGAGACAUUUCAGAUGACCAUGCUCUCCUACAGCAAAGUCGCUAGUGCCCAUAUCUACCAGAACAGUGACUUUGGCCUCUAAGAACCCCUAGUCGGAGCUCGAAUCUAGAGCAAUAGAGAAGCAAAAUAUCCCCAUUGCUUCUAUGCAGUCUGGGGAUGCGACGUCGGAAAGCAAGUGCGGCCAAAGCUCUCACAACAUGGGCUCUAUCUUGGAAAUUCUUUUCACAAAAUGGGGUCAGGGGUGGCGGUGGCGGUGGCAGCGAUAGGGCAUCGCCGGAGCCCACCCGAGGUGGGUGAUGCAUGGCAGUGGCCACAGGCAUGACACUAUGAGAGUUGGAUACCCAAGAGAGAGAGAGAGAGAGAGAGAGAGAGAGAGGCUUGGGCUGGACACACUGCUAGUCGAGGAAGCCGCCAAUGGUGGGUGGUGCGCCGGCGGGGUUCCCAGUAGGCGGUGGCCAAGGGAAA